UGGGCAGUAGCUCAGUGGUCAAACUUCCGCUUCGUAUGCGGGAUGAUCUGGGUUCGUUUCCCGGCUGCUUAC
This 72-nucleotide transfer RNA is filed under the name Toxocara canis (dog roundworm). It matches the Rfam family "tRNA". From Rfam's summary of the family: Transfer RNA (tRNA) molecules are approximately 80 nucleotides in length. Their secondary structure includes four short double-helical elements and three loops (D, anti-codon, and T loops). Lineage: Eukaryota; Metazoa; Nematoda; Chromadorea; Rhabditida; Toxocaridae. The record is from Rfam by way of RNAcentral.